CUUGGAGAAGUGUAUUGUAAUUUAAUGUAAAUAAUGUAAUAUCCAAUAAUUGUAAUUUAAUAUAAGAUGUAAUAUAAGUUCCUUAAAAAAUAUAUUUUUUAUUUCCCACGACAUUAGAUGGAUGUUCGGCAGCAAGACAUUGGACCAAACUGGGACGUCCUAUGAAGGCCCAAUUGACGUCCACCGAACGUCCCUUCGGAUGUUAAGUGGACCUCCAUUGGACGUUUGGCAACGUGGCAUUUGGACCAAAAUUGGACGUCCUGUUAAUGUCCAAUUCACGUCCCCUAGGACGUCCGGUUAAGGUCCAAUUUACUUCCGAUUAAGGUCCAAUUUACGUCCGAUUAAGGUCCCAUUUACGUCCGAUUAAGGUCCAAUUUACGUCCUAUUAAGGUCCAAUUUACGUCCGGUUAAGGUCCAAUUUACGUCCGAUUAAGGUCCCAUUUACGUCCCAUUAAGGUCCAAUUUACGUCCUAUUAAGGUCCAAUUUACGUCCGAUUAAGGUCCAAUUUAUGUCCUAUUAAGGUCCAAUUUACGUCUGAUUAAGGUCCAAUUUACGUCCGAUUAAGGUCCAAUUUACGUCCCCUAGGACGUCCGAUCAAGGUCCAAAUUACGUCCGAUUAAGGUCCAAUAUACGUCCCCUCGGACCUUAGAUGGACGUCCAAUGGACGUUCGGUAGCGCGACAUUUGGACCAAAAUAGGACGUAUAAAGGACGUUCCUCGGACGAAAACGGACGUCCAAUGGACGUCCCUAAAGUCCGUGAAGGACGUCCAAUGGACGUCCAUUGGACGUCCUUGUGCUAUUAGGGCAAGGUUAAGCUAUGGCCCA
Long non-coding RNA from Diabrotica virgifera virgifera (western corn rootworm), 826 nucleotides. RefSeq lists it as uncharacterized. The transcript is spliced from 3 exons. NCBI's taxonomy places the organism in Eukaryota, Metazoa, Arthropoda, Insecta, Coleoptera, Chrysomelidae. The record is from RefSeq and is a predicted model, not a curated record.